AUCGCUUCUCAGCCUUUUGGCUAAGAUCAAGUGUAGAAGUUUUCAUUCUGCCUGCGCAAUUUCACAUAUAUAGUUUUGUUUUCUGUUUUUUAUCUUUUUAGUUUUUUGAGACAAGGUCUUGCUAUGUAGUUCAGGUUGGCCUCAAACUUGCAGUAAUCCUUCUUCCUCAGCCUCCCAAA
Heterocephalus glaber (naked mole-rat) is the source of this 179-nucleotide small nuclear RNA. Its record names the gene U2. It matches the Rfam family "U2 spliceosomal RNA". Rfam says of the family: U2 is a small nuclear RNA (snRNA) component of the spliceosome (involved in pre-mRNA splicing). Complementary binding between U2 snRNA (in an area lying towards the 5' end but 3' to hairpin I) and the branchpoint sequence (BPS) of the intron results the bulging out of an unpaired adenosine, on the BPS, which initiates a nucleophilic attack at the intronic 5' splice site, thus starting the first of two transesterification reactions that mediate splicing. Lineage: Eukaryota; Metazoa; Chordata; Mammalia; Rodentia; Bathyergidae. The record is from Ensembl.